This 303-nucleotide ribosomal RNA is filed under the name Vibrio fluvialis. RNAcentral describes it as "bacterial SSU rRNA". It matches the Rfam family "Bacterial small subunit ribosomal RNA", at positions 638 to 940 of the family's 1533-position model. Lineage: Bacteria; Pseudomonadati; Pseudomonadota; Gammaproteobacteria; Vibrionales; Vibrionaceae. The record is from RNAcentral.
AGGCUAGAGUACUGUAGAGGGGGGUAGAAUUUCAGGUGUAGCGGUGAAAUGCGUAGAGAUCUGAAGGAAUACCGGUGGCGAAGGCGGCCCCCUGGACAGAUACUGACACUCAGAUGCGAAAGCGUGGGGAGCAAACAGGAUUAGAUACCCUGGUAGUCCACGCCGUAAACGAUGUCUACUUGGAGGUUGUGGCCUUGAGCCGUGGCUUUCGGAGCUAACGCGUUAAGUAGACCGCCUGGGGAGUACGGUCGCAAGAUUAAAACUCAAAUGAAUUGACGGGGGCCCGCACAAGCGGUGGAGCAU